Molecule: ribosomal RNA, 500 nt
Filed under: uncultured bacterium
Lineage: Bacteria
Description: partial 16S ribosomal RNA
Rfam family: Bacterial small subunit ribosomal RNA
Source: RNAcentral
AUUGGACGCUGGCGGCAGGCUUAACACAUGCAAGUCGAGCGGAGAUGAGGUGCUUGCACCUUAUCUUAGCGGCGGACGGGUGAGUAAUGCUUAGGAAUCUGCCUAUUAGUGGGGGACAACAUUCCGAAAGGAAUGCUAAUACCGCAUACGUCCUACGGGAGAAAGCAGGGGAUCUUCGGACCUUGCGCUAAUAGAUGAGCCUAAGUCGGAUUAGGUAGUGGGUGGGGUAAAGGCCUACCCAGGCGACGAUCUGUAGCGGGUCUGAGAGGAGGAGCCGCCCCACUGGGACUGAGACCCGGCCCAGACUCCUACGGGAGGCAGCAGUGUGGAAGAUUGGACAAUGGGGGAAACCCUGAUCCAGCCAUGCCGCGUGUGUGAAGACGGCCUUAUGGUUGUAAGCACUUUAAGCGAGGAGGAGGCUACUGAGACUAAUACUCUUGGAUGGUGGACGUUACUCGCAGAAUAAGCACCGGCUAACUCUGUGCCAGCCGCCGCUGUAA